UUGACGCCGCGUGGAGGAUGAAGGUCUUCGGAUUGUAAACUCCUGUCAUGAGGGAGUAAGACAUCGCGUUAACUGCGUGGGUGUUUGAUAGUACCUCAAGAGGAAGAGACGGCUAACUCUGUGCCAGCAGCCGCGGUAAUACAGAGGUCUCAAGCGUUGUUCGGAUUCAUUGGGCGUAAAGGGUGCGUAGGCGGUUGGGUAAGUCAGACGUGAAAUUCCAGGGCUCAACCCUGAAACUGCGUUUGAUACUGCCUGACUAGAGUACUGGAGAGGAGACUGGAAUUCACGGUGUAGCAGUGAAAUGCGUAGAUAUCGUGAGGAAGACCAGUGGCGAAAGCGAGUCUCUGGACAGUAACUGACGCUGAGGCACGAAGGCCAGGGGAGCAAACGGGAUUAGAUACCCCGGUAGUCCUGGCAGUAAACGGUGCACGUUUGGUGUGGGAGGAAUCGACCCCUUCCGCGCCGGAGCUAACGCGUUAAACGUGCCGCCUGGGGAGUACGGUCGCAAGAUUAAAACUCAAAGAAAUUGGCGGGGGCCCGCACAAGCGGUGGAGUAUGUGGCUUAAUUCGAUGCAACGCGAAGAACCUUACCUAGGCUUGACAUGCAUCUCUAAG
RNAcentral lists this ribosomal RNA (615 nucleotides) under uncultured bacterium. RNAcentral describes it as "bacterial SSU rRNA". It matches the Rfam family "Bacterial small subunit ribosomal RNA", at positions 391 to 997 of the family's 1533-position model. The record is from RNAcentral.